CAGGAUACCAUAUUCAACCAAACUCCGAAUACCGCAUGUGAAAUCUAUGGAGUGAGACAGUGAGGGAUAAGCUUCAUUGUCAAGAGGGAAACAGCCCAGACUGCCGACUAAGGUACCGGAAGGAUAACUAAGUGAGAAAGGAAGUGAUUGUGCUAAGACAGCCAGGAUGUUGGCUUAGAAGCAGCCACCAUUUAAAAAGUGCGUAAUAGCUUACUGGUCGAGGACAAUUGCGCCAAAAAUUGAAGGUACUGAAGUUAUCUACCGAAGUCGCGGAUUUAGCGAGAGCUAAGUGGUAGGGGAGCGUUCUGAGGGUAGAAGGCUGACCGAGAGGACAGUUGGACCGUAAGAAGUGAUAAUGCCGGAAUGAGUAGCGAGAAAAUAAGUGAGAAUCUUAUUCGUCGAAAGCCUAAGGUUUCCUGGGGUAGGUAAAUCCGCCCAGGGUUAGUCGGUACCUAAGACGAGGUCGAAGGACGUAGCCGAUGGACAACAGGUUAAUAUUCCUGUACUACUGUUAAUUGGAGGAGAGAUCCGGGAGAGAAGUGGUGACGGAGGAGGCUAUAUCAACCCUGUGCAUGGAAGUGCAGGGCCAAGCGUGUAGGUAGUAGCUGUAGGCAAAUCCGCAGUUAUGGUAAUCUGAGACGUGAUGGGUAUCGCAAGAGAAGUGAUAGACGCCCUACUUCCGAGAAAACCCGCUAUUUAGAGAGACAGUAACCGUACUAAAACUGACACAGGUAGGCGAGGAGAGAAUCCUAAGACGCUCGAGAGAAUCUUCGUUAAGGAACUCGGCAAAUUAGCCCCGUAACUUAGGGAUAAGGGGAGCCAUUGGUUGUGAAUAUUGAACGAUAGGAGCGAUCGAUGGUCGCAGAAAAGUGGCCCAGGCGACUGUUUACUAAAAACACAGGACUCUGCGAAGACGUGAAGUUGAAGUAUAGAGUCUGACGUCUGCUCGGUGCUGGAAGGUUAAGGCAAUAGGUUAGUGCGAGAGUACGAAGCUUAGACCCGAAGCCCCAGUAAACGGCGGCCGUAACUAUGACGGUCCUAAGGUAGCGAAAUUCCUUGUCGGGUAAGUUCCGACGUGCAUGAAUGACGUAACGACUUGGGCACUGUCUCAACGAAGAACUCGGCGAAAUUGUAGCAACGGUGAAGAUGCCGUUUACCCGCAACUAGACGGAAAGACCCCGUGAACCUUUACUAUAGCAUGUCAUUGUGUUUUGGCAUAAGAUGUGUAGGAUAGGUGGGAGACGUGGAAUGGGAGACGCCAGUCUUUCAGGAGUCGCCAUUGAAAUACCACCUUUUUUGUGUUAGAAUUCUAACUGAUGCCCGUGAACCGGGAUCAGGACAGUGAUAUGUGGGUAGUUUGACUGGGGCGGUCUCCUCCGAAAGAGUAACGGAGGAGUCCAAAGGUAUCCUCAACAUGGUUGGUAAUCAUGUGAAGAGCGUAAAGGUAGAAGGAUACUUGACUGCGAGAGCAAUAAUUCGAGCAGAUGUGAAAGCAGGGCUUAGUGAUCCGGUGAUGCCGUGUGGAAGGGUCAUCGCUCAACAGAUAAAAGGUACUCCGGGGAUAACAGGCUGAUCGCCUCCAAGAGUUCGUAUCGACGAGGCGGUUUGGCACCUCGAUGUCGGCUCGUCGCAUCCUGGGGCUGAAGAGGGUCCCAAGGGUUUGGCUGUUCGCCAAUUAAAGCGGCACGCGAGCUGGGUUUAGACCGUCGUGAGACAGGUCGGUCUCUAUCUGUUGUGGGUGUAGGAAACUUGAGGAGAAUUACCCCUAGUACGAGAGGAUUGGGGUGGACGUACCGCUGGUGUACCAGUUGUCAUACCAAUGGCACAGCUGGGUAGCUACGUACGGAAUAGAUAAGCGCUGAAAGCAUAUAAGCGCGAAGCGGACUUUAAAACUAGGUUUCCCGAUAGAGACCACAGAGACGAUGUGGUAGAUAGGUCGGAUGUGUAGAGACAGUAAUGUAAGAGCUAACCGAUCCUAAUAACUCGAAAGACUUAUGU
This 1998-nucleotide ribosomal RNA is filed under the name activated sludge metagenome. RNAcentral's name for it is "bacterial LSU rRNA". It matches the Rfam family "Bacterial large subunit ribosomal RNA", at positions 932 to 2925 of the family's 2925-position model. The record is from RNAcentral.